GAUGAACGCUGGCGGCGUGCCUAAUACAUGCAAGUCGAGCGAACGGACGAGAAGCUUGCUUCUCUGAUGUUAGCGGCGGACGGGUGAGUAACACGUGGAUAACCUACCUUUAAGACUGGGAUAACUUCGGGAAACCGGAUCUAAUACCGGAUGAUAUUUUGAACCGCAUGGUUCAAAAGUGAAAGACGGUCUUGCUUUCACUUAUAGAUGGAUCUGCGCUGCAUUAGCUAGUUGGUAAGGUAACGGCUUACCAAGGCAACGAUGCAUAGCCGACCUGAGAGGGUGAUCGGCCACACUGGAACUGAGCCCCGGUCCAGACUCCUACGGGAGGCAGCAGUAGGGAAUCUUCCGCAAUGGGCGAAAGCCUGACGGAGCACCGCCGCGUGAGUGAUGAAGGUCUUCGGAUCGUAAAACUCUGUUAUUAGGGAAGAACAUAUGUGUAAGUAACUGUGCACAUAUUGACGGUACCUACUCAGAAAGCCACGGCUAACUACGUG
Molecule: ribosomal RNA, 497 nt
Filed under: uncultured bacterium
Lineage: Bacteria
Description: partial 16S ribosomal RNA
Rfam family: Bacterial small subunit ribosomal RNA
Source: RNAcentral